RNAcentral lists this transfer RNA (70 nucleotides) under Rhyacionia leptotubula (pine tip moth). RNAcentral's name for it is "tRNA-Thr". Lineage: Eukaryota; Metazoa; Arthropoda; Insecta; Lepidoptera; Tortricidae. The record is from RNAcentral.
GUUUUUAUAGUUUAAAAAAAAAAACAUUGGUCUUGUAAACUAAAAAUUAAGAUUUUUUCUUUUUAAAACU